CCUGCUCAAUGAAUAUUUAAAUAGCCGCAAUUUUAUGUGCUAAGGUAGCAUAAUCACUUGUUUUUUAAUUAAAAACUAGAAUGAAAGGUAUAACGUUUUAAUUUUUUUAUUAUAAAAAUAAAUUUAAAUUAUAUCUAAACAUAAAAAUAUGUUUAUAAAAAAAAUAGACGAUAAGACCCUAUUGAAUUUUACUAUUAUGUUUAGCUGGGGCAGCUAAUUAAAUAUUAUUUUAAUUAAUUUGCUUUAAAAUAAAUACUUCCAGUAUAAUUGAUUAUUUAAUUAAAUUACCAUAGGGAUAACAGCAUAAUAUUUUUUAAAAGUUCUUAUUAAAAAAAAUGUUUAUGACCUCGAUGUUGAAUUAUUUUACUUUAUUUACGCAAUAGUAAUAAAAGUAGGUCUGUUCGACCUUUAAUAUAUUACA
RNAcentral lists this ribosomal RNA (421 nucleotides) under Theridion acutitarse. RNAcentral describes it as "partial 16S ribosomal RNA". The record is from RNAcentral. Lineage: Eukaryota; Metazoa; Arthropoda; Arachnida; Araneae; Theridiidae.